This 778-nucleotide ribosomal RNA is filed under the name uncultured bacterium. Its description in RNAcentral is "bacterial SSU rRNA". It matches the Rfam family "Bacterial small subunit ribosomal RNA", at positions 8 to 796 of the family's 1533-position model. The record is from RNAcentral.
AGAGUUUGAUCCUGGCUCAGAACGAACGUUGGCGGCGUGGAUUAGGCAUGCAAGUCGAACGAAUCCCAGGAGCUUGCUCCUGGGGGAAGUGGCGAAAGGGGCAGUAAUGCGUGGGUAACCUACCCUGGGGACGAGGAUAGCCGUUCUAACGGACGGGUAAUACUCGGCGAUUCGGCAAGGGGACAUCCCCUUGCCGGGAAAUGAGUUUCGCCUCGGGAGGGGCUCACGUGAUAUUAGCUUGUUGGUGAGGUAACGGCUCACCAAGGCAAAGAUGUCUAGCGGGUGUGAGAGCACGACCCGCGCCACUGGCACUGAGACACUGGCCAGACUCCUACGGGAGGCUGCAGUCGAGGAUCUUCGGCAAUGGGCGCAAGCCUGACCGAGCGACGCCGCGUGUGCGAUGAAGGCCUUCGGGUUGUAAAGCACUGUCGAGGGGGAGGAAGCCGCAAGGUUGACCUAUCCCUGGAGGAAGCACGGGCUAAGUUCGUGCCAGCAGCCGCGGUAAGACGAACCGUGCGAACGUUGUUCGGAAUCACUGGGCUUAAAGGGCGCGUAGGCGGGCUUGCAAGUCUGCGGUGAAAGCCUCCAGCUUAACUGGAGAAGUGCCGUGGAUACUGCGGGCCUCGAGGAGGGUAGGGGCAUCUGGAACGUUGGGUGGAGCGGUGAAAUGCGUUGAUAUCCAACGGAACUCCGGUGGCGAAGGCGAGGUGCUGGACCCUUUCUGACGCUGAGGCGCGAAAGCCAGGGGAGCGAACGGGAUUAGAUACCCUAGUAGUCC